CUCUGGUGCAAUAGAAAGAAUGUAUGUAACAGUAAGUUACAGGUCAAACUCCUUGUUCUAUUCUCUCCCCCGUUUUCACUAUUGCACUUGACUAGUCUUAA
Molecule: small RNA, 101 nt
Filed under: Propithecus coquereli (Coquerel's sifaka)
Lineage: Eukaryota; Metazoa; Chordata; Mammalia; Primates; Indriidae
Description: Y RNA (ENSPCOG00000005163.1)
Source: RNAcentral